RNAcentral lists this ribosomal RNA (504 nucleotides) under uncultured bacterium. RNAcentral describes it as "bacterial SSU rRNA". It matches the Rfam family "Bacterial small subunit ribosomal RNA", at positions 30 to 526 of the family's 1533-position model. The record is from RNAcentral.
UUGAACGCUGGCGGCGUGCUUAACACAUGCAAGUCGAGCGGUAACAGGUGUAGCAAUACAUGCUGACGAGCGGCGAACGGGUGAGUAAUGCUUCGGAAUCUGCCCAGUAGUGGGGAAUAACCUGGGGAAACUCAGGCUAAUACCGCAUACGAACUACGGUUGAAAGCAGGGGAUCGCAAGACCUUGCGCUAUUGGAUGAGCCGAAGUCGGAUUAGCUAGUUGGUGAGGUAAAGGCUCACCAAGGCGACGAUCCGUAGCUGGUCUGAGAGGACGACCAGCCACACUGGAACUGAGACACGGUCCAGACUCCUACGGGAGGCAGCAGUGGGGAAUAUUGGACAAUGGGGGCAACCCUGAUCCAGCGACGCCGCGUGUGUGAAGAAGGCCUGCGGGUUGUAAAGCACUUUUAGUGGGGACAAAAAGCUACGGGUUAAUACCUCGUGGUCUUGAUUUAACCCAAAGAAAAAGCACCGGCUAACUCUGUGCCAGCAGCCGCAGUAAAAC